UUAACUACAUUAAAGGGUCUUUCCCCUAGCCUUCCAAGCUAAUGAUGCGGGUUCGAUUCCCGCUACCCGCUUAU
Molecule: transfer RNA, 74 nt
Filed under: Aphyllon californicum
Lineage: Eukaryota; Viridiplantae; Streptophyta; Magnoliopsida; Lamiales; Orobanchaceae
Description: tRNA-Gly
Source: RNAcentral